UUGACCGCCGCCCCAGCCUGUGCUGGUUUUGGGUGGAGUUUGGCUACGGGACGCGAGAAAAGUGCAUCAAUGAUCGGGCAAUCAAUGGCUCACCGAGGUCAAUGUACACUGCCUUAAAUCACAAUAAUUGUGUGUCCAGUUGAUCCGCCUGUUUAUAUACAUAUAGAAUAUUUUUAAAUUAUUUACAUGGUAAAAAUUAUAUAAUUAGGAGGCUCUUAACCUAUGUAUUAAAUAAUUUAAAAAUAUAAAAUUAAAUAUUAUUUAAACUGUUUAUUUUUGAACUUCUUGAUAUUUUCAAACCAGCACAAAUACAUGUAGACAUGCAUAUAUAUAUAUAUAUAUAUAUAUAUA
RNAcentral lists this long non-coding RNA (351 nucleotides) under Phoenix dactylifera (date palm). RNAcentral describes it as "long non-coding RNA (PDAC_LNC000458)". Lineage: Eukaryota; Viridiplantae; Streptophyta; Magnoliopsida; Arecales; Arecaceae. The record is from RNAcentral.